UCAAGGGCUGCAACCUCCCCUGUGUCUGCAACGCCAUAUUGUUCACACUGGCUUGGUGAGUAGGGGAAAGCGGGUCGAGCAGCCUGGAGCCAGGCGCCGCAGCCGACGAUCUGAUCAUGUCCCCUUGAUCUACACCACGCCUAGACUGGACAUCGUACAUGUGAAUUUGAGGCUGGUGCUGCUCCGCGUGGGCGGCGUGGUACACCGCCGGCACGUCCCGGCUGAGCCCGUGCUGGCGUGCCGGUCCUCUUUCCGGUCUGCUGCUCGACGCCGCAACUGUUUCUCCGCGUGUCCGGCGUCGUAGGGCACCAGGUCGUAUCUCUCGAGCAUGUGCCAGUCGUCGGUCUUGCCUGCUGAUUUGCCUCCUUCGUUCUCGCGUUUAACAGGUACAAUACCAAAUUACAAUGUCUACUCUGAAUUUCAAGGUUAGCGCACCGGUGCUGCAAGUAUGUUCUCUCUUCAGUUUGAGGAACAUGUGUGUUAUUGUGAUUCCAGUGGCACUUACAAGAUGUCAGUUAAGUAGUGCAAGAUUACUUCACUUGAUUUCUGUAUUUCGAUUUGUGCAUGUAUGUAUUCUCUCUACUGUAUUUAUAUGAGCACAUUGAAAGCUACAGUCUUUCUCCUUUCUGCUAUCUGUUUUUUAUCUGUCUAAAAGUAAAGCAAGCAAAGUUAAUCGUUCUUCCUCUUGAUUUUGCCCUGUUAGAAUUGACUGAAAUGGAAUUUUGUAAGAAGUCCGUUGUAUCCAUGUAGCGGAAUUGUCUUUCAACUCUUAUAUGCUUAAUUAUAUAGCUAGGAGGUUACUGUGAACAGGUGCCAUUACCAGGGUUCAUGCUUCUCCUUACCUUUCAUGCUUCUCCUUACCUCUUGACAAAAAAUUCCUCUACAUGUGAAUAUAAAUAAUACCACAGGUUUCUCAUAUGAGUCUUUUAUGGUGUUCACAGAUGGCUGAAGCUUUUUGCAGCUAUGGAAUAGUGACCGUACAUUCUCCAGUCUUCACUAUGGAUUGUUUCUCUUUACAUGAAGUGUAGAUUUUCCCAGGACAAGCAACAAAAGUGAGUGGAGUGUUGAGGAAUCUCUGGCCAACAAGCAAUCCAGGAGGAUAUAUGAACUAUCAUCCACACAAUCUGGAUCGACAUAGUAGGAAGAUGAAUCGGUGCAUCGAGAGCUACCUUAAGAUGCAGGAUGUGCACACGGUCAUCUUCUUUCUUUUUUGCCCGACCCCAAGCAUUACUUAAGAGUUUCUUCUGUUACAAGGUAUUUCUGUUAAAAGGUAUGUUAGAUCUUCAUUUAUAUUUCAGAAUUUCUUCGGUGAUAUAGUUGGUGCUAAAAUAUGCACAGUUGGUGCGCUAUACUUAUAUAGUUAAAUGUAAGCUAAAUGGGUAAAGGAGUUUUACGUUGUAUGUCAGUGGGCUGAUGGUUGUGACUACAAUAAAAUUAUUAUUGCUACCAAGUAACUUUGGCCAUCAUUUUAAGUAGCUCUACUCGGAGAUUAUCUGAUAUUUGGAGUCAUGUGUAGUAAUACAAAUAUUUCAAUGCAAGAAAAUAUUACCAAACUAGCAUCAGUGAUUAGUCUCAAUAACAGUACACCGUUCUAGCGGGCUAAUUGAAAUGCUGACAAAUGGGAUGGGGCCUAAGUGUUAUUUGAAGGCGAUGUUGACAUAUUGAGUAAACGAUUCAGUGUUUAGAUUCUAAUCUUAUAGGUCUUCUUGAGUAAUUAAAUUGCCACAAAGAGUCGCAAUUUACUCAACAUACUCCGCUACAAUAUUUACAUGAUGUAUUGAAAGGUGUGUUCCUUCUAAACUAAUUUCUAUUUUGGUUAAUAUGAUACAUGUCACUUAAAAUUAGGACAUGUGCAUCUGGGGAUAGCUGAUUUAUUCUCAUGUAAUAUAUUUAAUAGUUCAUUCUUUAUUAAUUAAUGUCCGUUCCCUUUGCUUUGUUUUGCAGUGUUUGUUUUCCACCAUAAUUAUGUGAGUUGAUUGGUCGGCAUUAUACAAAUUGUUUCAUGGUUUGUCCUCUUUGGAAAACACCAAGCUUGCUCCUCAUUAUACUACUGUAUGCCGUGCCAUGUGUUGAAAUUUCUUGGUACAAUAUGGUUUAGGAUAACUUUCUGCUUAUAUUCUGAUGCUUUAUGUACAGCCAACUGUUUCUACUCGAAGUCCUUUGUGGUUGAUGAGAUUCUAGAUGAUGUGCUUUCUGAUUAGGUGUUACUGAGGUGAGUUUGUAUGAAUUUCUUAAUGCAGAUUUUUCAGUCCAAGAAGCAUUAAAAUCUUGCUUCUGUCCCAAGGGAACGUGAUGAAAGGUUGUGCGCCAACUAAUCAUAUAGAUUAAUUCAAGGCACGGCUAAAAGAAGGUUCGGUUAUAUAGAAAAUUCAUCGUUGCUGAUGUGCGGAAUAAAUACAUAGUAGCGGAUCAUCUUUACAGAAUCAAGAUUACUCAGUGCUCAAAAGUUCACGAAAUCAUUCCACAACCUGAUAACCUUCCUCUAUUUUCAUAUAAUGCAACUCCUUUGAGGUCCUGCAGAACAUGCAGUCGACAAUAGUCCUGUCAGGUAUUCACUUCACUGCACAUGUGAUCGAGUGCUUAUAUUAUUUAUGUUGCUCAGUUAUAUAUUAUUGUUUCUUCUGAUUUUUCUACUCUGUAUUUAUUUCUGCUUUGUUAGGUAUUCACUUCAUUGCACAUGCUAUAUUAAACUACACACUACCGUUGCGGUACACUGAUCUUACUCUGUUCUUUCCCCCAGCAAGUAGUAAGAUACCAUCUGCAUCAUCAGACCAACCUAUUCCAACUACUCGAGACAGAGAUGAAGCACUGUCGAUGUCGUUUUUCGUUGUUAUUUUCUUUCAGCUUUCUACUAGAAGCAUUAACUUCCCUGCUCAUUCUUCCGUUGGAAUUCCUCGCAGCAAUAGGCUUAGGAUAGCAGAUACUGAAGUGCACAUACUGCUGGUCAUCCUCGCUGAGCUCUGUUAAAAUUCAUUUCUUAGAAAGUUUGGUGUUUGCUGAACAUAUGCGGUGCUUGGUGAGGUGUAGGUGUGUUGGUUCACAUGUGUUCUUUUCUUUUUUCCUCUUGCACAUUCUGCAUAUGUAUCAUGGGUUUUUGUUGCUCUGUUUUCUAGGAUCAGUUCUCUAUGCAAGACGAAGAAGUUUCCACUUACACCUUUAAUGCGUGCAGCUCUUUUUUUAGUUUUCUAUUUUUUUUCGUGCAACUGUUACUUAUUAAGUUUCUCAUGCUGCUAAAUUUGAAAUGAUCGAUUCCGAAGUGUAAGCACUAUCUCUGGUUUCAGCUGAAGUAUAUUGUAACUACAUGUUUUAUGUUUGUAAAUGUUGUUGAAGUGUUGAAAUUCAUUAUUACACUC
Molecule: long non-coding RNA, 3353 nt
Organism: Lolium rigidum
Lineage: Eukaryota; Viridiplantae; Streptophyta; Magnoliopsida; Poales; Poaceae
Exons: 5
Source: RefSeq, a predicted model, not a curated record